This 4435-nucleotide unclassified non-coding RNA is filed under the name Melitaea cinxia (Glanville fritillary). RNAcentral describes it as "misc RNA ENSMCXG00005021436.1". The record is from RNAcentral. Lineage: Eukaryota; Metazoa; Arthropoda; Insecta; Lepidoptera; Nymphalidae.
AUUAAUGGAGUUCUGCAAUUAUUAAAAUUCAUUUGAAUAUGUUCCUUAAUGAAGGAAUAAUGUAAGAAGGAAUGAAGGAAGAAAACAAAGGAGUGUUAUUGAGAAAUUCAGUAAAAACGUUAUGUCAUCCGCUUGAAUGAUAUUACGGUUAUUAGGAUAUUGGGUGUUUUAAUGUUGGCAAUAAGUUAACUGUUUCAGAAUCUUUUACAGAUGAUUUAAAGCAUGGGAGUAGAUAAAUUAUUUUUUAUAUAUUAUUUACAUAAUAAAGCAAAUUUAAAAAUUUAAUAUUAUAAUAUAUCGGCGUUAUUAGACAUAUGAUUAGUAGUAUCUGAAAGCUGUUCAUAUUAAAGAUUUGCUACGCAGGACAAGACGAGCUUAAUCGCUUGUAAGAUAAUUGAUAGGUAUGCAUAUGAGGAUCAAGGAAGGUAUUACUAACACAAUUAUCUUAAUCCAGUACUUGUAAUGGAUUUAUUGUGCGAGAAGUGUAGAUGAGUGAAUUUGUUACGGUUUUAUUUAUCAACAAUACAAUGUCUCGGUACGAUCAUUUACAAUUCGACUUUUAUCUAGUACUUAAAUAAAUUUAUUUAUUUUAAUUUAUUGCACAACUAUAUAAAAUACGCUGGUAAACUUAAGCAGGCUUAUCUACCAGCCAAGUUUAAAACGUAGGUGCAAGGAAGUAGGUAGGAAAAGGAGUAAGAAAAAAAUAUCAGUUAACUUAGAGAUGAUACUAUAUUUUCUUAAUACAGUUUACUCUGUCUGAUUUCGGUUGGGUGAUGUAAGAUCAUGACAGCAACAGUUUUUUAAUAAUUGAACAAAUUUGAACCUUACUAGUAAUUUGAAUGCUCCCAUUAUUAUGUAAUUUAAAAGUUCUUAGUUACUUCUUCGGAUCGAGAACGGAAUCUAAUUACAACCUGAUUUAACCGUGUAUAAAAUACACAAUAAAUGAUGUUUAUUUUUAAACUUUGUUACAAAAUUCAUUGGAAUCUUAGUCCCUAAACUAGGAAAGCUCGUAACGUAGGGCUCAUUACUUUAGCAAAGUGUUUGAUCAUGUAAUAAUUCCGGGAGAUAUUCAAAUAUAUACGCAAUUACAUUAUUUCAUGAUAAGUGAAAUAUGAAUCACUCAUAAAGCUUAUUAUAUAUAUAUAUAUAUAUAUAUAUAUAUAUAUAUAGUUUUAUUAUUUUAUUAUUACAGUGCAAAUUAAUGAGUACAGUUUACACUUAAGCAAAAUACUUAUAGCUAAUGGAGUCAAUUUUUUAUUUUUUGAGUUUUUUUUAAAUUUAUUUUAUUAAAUAGAGUUCAUUUGAAAAGUUAAUUAUACCUUUUUAUAAUCAUUGUAUAUAUAUAAUAUUUUGUAUUACUUGAGUUUGUUAAUUUCUUUACAAGCAAGGCGAGUAAGUAAUAAAAAAAUUGCAGGAAUAGAACAAAAACAGCCCAAUUUUUUUAACAUAAAUAUAGUAAAUGCUACCAUUUUCAUCUUUAGUCUAAACGUAAUUGUUUUUAUAAUUUUUUUUUGUAGAAUUAAAAGGGAUCAAAAGAUCAAAUCUCAAUACUCGUAUGUAGCUCACGCGGACAAUAAUAAAAUAUGAAAUAUUAGGAGAUCCGAACUAGCGACGAACUUCACCCAUAUGCUUAAUGGGUGAAAAUUAUUUUAUACUUAUUUUAGAAUAUCAGAAUAAUGUCGCGAAAGGUGUAACUGAAAAAUUCCUGGUCAGGCCUAUAUUUAAUUUAAAAUUAAAAAAAAAUAUAUUUGAAAAGGGAAGGCUUUUAAAAACCCUAAUGUCGUAACGAUACCCCUUAAUAUUACUAAUGAGGGCUCAAACUUUUACAAUAACCUUUUUUUAUCAUCAUGAAUGAUAUUUUCACAGUAUAGUUUAGAAAAAAAAAUAGUAAUUUAUUUGGUCCACUCUAAUGUACACACAUAAUCUUUUUAAAUAUAUCUACGUAUAUCUAAGUAAAUGUGUAUGUGUGGUUUAGUGAGAAUUUAACGUGUUGUGAAUGACGACGCGUUGGCUCAACGGUUACAGCACUGGUUUAUGGCUGUUGUGCUGGCGGUUGCGGGUUCGAUCGCCGCAUAUGACAAACAUUUGUAUUUGCCAUACAGAUGUUUGCCGUGGUCUGGGUGUUUGUCCUUGUGGGUCUCCCCACCGUGCCUCGGAGAGCACGUUGAGCCGUCGGCCCAGCAGUUGGAUAUUACAAGCUGAAGUGUAACGUGAUGAGGUGUGACGUGACUGCUGCAAACAUUUUUAUGAAAAUAAUAAUUAUUGACUGAAGCGCAUGGAACAGAGCUUACUUUACAAUCUAUAUUUAGGAGGACGAUUACCAAUUAAGACGAAUACAAUUUCGAUACGUACCAUAGAUAUAUUUGCAAAUUUCCGAUCGAUUAGAAAAUUAUUACGACGUUGAAGAGAUAAUUUCUGCUAUUUAUUAUCAUAUUUUAAUGUUCCUGAGUUCGGUUUUUCGGCAUAUUUGCGUAUUCACGCUUUGGAACACUCAGUACCAUUAUUAUGCGUUAAUAAUUGCAUUUAGAAAUGUGUUUUAAAUGUCCAUUACAAACAAUCAGUGGCUCAAUUGACAUCAAUUUAAUAACAAUUGUUUGCUAUUCCUUCAUAUACCAAAAGGCGAGCAACAAUUGCUUUAUUUUCAGAUCUUAAUUGUUAAUUGAAAUUGUCAAACACUUCGAAUUAUUUGAUUUGUUGUUGCCCUAGGAACGUUUAACCGCACAGCGCUUCCACACUGUUGUGUAAGUGUCGAUCUUCUAAACAGUAUCGACUUUCAAGAAUCAUUUAUACGUACGUAGCUUGUCAAACAAAGCGUAGCAUAUCACGUCUUUAAUUAGAGCAAGUAUCUGAUAGUAUGUAAACAAUUAUGUCUUGAGAACUAUUUGUUUUGCGUAGGAUGAGCCUUAUUUUAAUUGCUUGCCUUGUAUACAUUUGUUAUUUUGACCUUUAACAACACUAAUUAUUGUAUUAGAGGGCAUCCAUUAUAUUACGUGAGCUAUUUUUCUAUCAGUUUAAACCCUUCCCCUAAGUGAGAUCUAGUAAGAUUUGCCUAGGACCCCUUACGUGGGAUGGACGCUAAAAAUGUUUUAAACAAUUUAUUUUUAUUAUUCGGGAAAAUAAACCGUCAAGGUAUAGUUAAGUUAAAUAAAAUUCAAAGCGAAAACAGAAACACAACACUUUUUUUUUAAUUUUUACUCAAUCCAUGGAGACUUGUGUACUUUUUCGUGUAAUAUUUUUUAUUGUUUUAAGUUGAGGUGAGGUUUUCGAUUAUCCCCCCUCACGGUUUUAAUGAGAUUUGGUAAGAUUUCAUUGGACCCCUCCUCCCCAUUCUGAACUCACGUAAUUAAUGGAUGUCCUUACCUAGUAAUCACUAUAUUAAGACUAAGUAUAGUAAGAUUGUGAUCAAGUUAAUUACAUAAUUUCUUUUCUCCAAGGACCGGCAAAACAAAAAUUGUUAUUAAGUUAUUACUAUUAAUUAUUUAUUAAAAGUGCCUCAGUAAAUAAUGUGUACAAUGUUAAUAUAUCCUUUAUAUAUACCUAUAUUAAUUGCUAUAAUUUUUUUGACAAUAGUGACUAAGUAGAUUUUACGUUUAUUUAAAUUAAUAAUAAUUUUUGUGUAAUAGAUAAUUAGAUAUAUCUUACGAUUUUGCAAGUCAUCCCAAUAAGUGCUUUGUGUGUGUUUACCCUUAUAUAGACUAGUUGAUACCUUAAGCGUAAUAUGAUCGCUCGUUCGGUUUAAUUAAUAAAGCAAUCGUGUUUAGAGGUGCUUAACAUGCAAGAAUAGGGAUAGAACGCUGUUUACCUAAUAAUGUUAUUAAUAUAAACGUACCACCGAAUAUGCAUUGUUUUUUUUUUGUAUUGGCAUACUGUUAUUACACAAAUAGAAACAUCUUUAUAUUAUCUUAUACAGUUGUUACGCAUAAAUUAUUAAAUUUUGUUGCACUUUGUUUAUUGUAAAUAUUUUUAAUUUUUUUACCUCCAGAAAUGCUUGCCAUCAUUGUUUUAGAUUGUUUCCUUAAAUAUUUUAAGUAAAAAUAAAUGUUAGAUUCUUUUAUAAGAUUUUAAAUUAACAUGGUUAUUUUUAUUACUAAAAUUAUACAAAAACGGCAUAUUUACCAUGUUUUUUAUUUUCAUUUGCGGAGCUCGAUAUUUCGACAUUAACUGCGAAUGUUCACGAGAAAAUAAAUAAAAUAAAAUGAAAAUACAAAACAUGUUAAAUAUGCCGUUUUUGAAUAGGUAAUUUUAUUAAAGGGUGUGCAUAUGAUAUUCUCGCUCUUUGUCUAAUUUAUAGCUAUAUAGGUUAUGGAACAAAUAACAUAAUAUUUUUGUCAUCGCUACGCUCGAUAGUUUUGGUUACGCGUUGUAAUGUUAAGUACAAGUACAUUUAUGUAAGUCACAAGAUUAGCUGCAAUAAAGUAAUUUGCUUGGUAAAAUC